Malaclemys terrapin pileata is the source of this 343-nucleotide long non-coding RNA. RefSeq lists it as uncharacterized. The transcript is spliced from 3 exons. The record is from RefSeq and is a predicted model, not a curated record. Lineage: Eukaryota; Metazoa; Chordata; Testudines; Emydidae.
CUGGUGCCAGAGCUGCCGAGCCUGCCUCACCUCACGCCGGGGGAAAGAGUCUCACUCACAGGCUGGCACAGCGCGGCAGGUCACUGGAUCCCCUCGAUGAAAGCAGGAUCUUGAAGCAGGGCUGGACAAGCUUCUUUCAGAUCUGCCUCUGUGAGGAAUUGGUGUGCAAUUGAAGUCUCCUUUAAGUGUAACUUCCCCCUGUUAUUAAUAACCCAGCAAUUGUGCCCUUCAACAAGACGAAACGUCCCUCCUUAUCCUUAAAUUGAUCUUUAAUCUGAAAAAGUUCAGGUUUAGAAAAUAUGAUGCUCACUCCUUUCUUUUCUUUGGCUGAAGCAAAAAGAAA